AGUGAACGCUGGCGGUAGGCCUAACACAUGCAAGUCGAACGGCAGCACAGGAGAGCUUGCUCUCUAGGUGGCGAGUGGCGGACGGGUGAGGAAUACAUCGGAAUCUGCCCAGUCGUGGGAGAUAACGUAGGGAAACUUACGCUAAUACCGCAUACGACCUUCGGGUGAAAGAGGGGGAUCGCAAGACCUCUCGCGAUUGGAUGAGCCGAUGUCGGAUUAGCUAGUUAGCGGGGUAAUGGCCCACCAAGGCGACGAUCCGUAGCUGGUCUGAGAGGAUGAUCAGCCACACUGGAACUGAGACACGGUCCAGACUCCUACGGGAGGCAGCAGUGGGGAAUAUUGGACAAUGGGCGCAAGCCUGAUCCAGCCAUACCGCGUGGGUGAAGAAGGCCUUCGGGUUGUAAAGCCCUUUUGUUGGGAAAGAAAUCUUUCAGGCUAAUACCCUGGGAGGAUGACGGUACCCAAAGAAUAAGCACCGGCUAACUUCGUG
RNAcentral lists this ribosomal RNA (490 nucleotides) under uncultured bacterium. RNAcentral's name for it is "partial 16S ribosomal RNA". It matches the Rfam family "Bacterial small subunit ribosomal RNA", at positions 29 to 507 of the family's 1533-position model. The record is from RNAcentral.